This 612-nucleotide long non-coding RNA is filed under the name Solanum tuberosum (potato). RNAcentral's name for it is "long non-coding RNA (STUB_LNC005240)". The record is from RNAcentral. Lineage: Eukaryota; Viridiplantae; Streptophyta; Magnoliopsida; Solanales; Solanaceae.
GCGCCACAAAAUUUUGAAAUAUGAAGGGAGUUAUGGUGCUGUCCUAAAAAAUAUAGUUGCAAUUUUCUGCUAUUUGUAUGACGAAAUGAUGAUUUCCCUUCCCUUUACUGUUUCAGUUUCUUUCUUUUCUUUUCCCCGAAGACGUUUACUAUUUCAGUAUCUGUACUUUCUUUAUAUCAACAUAAGGACAUUGUUGUUCAAUUCCAUCAUCUGGUGGCUAACUACUCUUAGUUUCAGGCUUGACGUUUCGCUGGAAGAUAACGAAACUUGAGUACAUGGGAUCUGAAAAGGAACACACAUCAAUGUUAUGGAGAAGUACUUAAAAGUAGAUUAUCAAACAUUUGACUAGGUUGGACAUAUGCUUUCAGUAGCUUAGAUGUUUUGUUGUUGGCAUUGUCUGAGCACUCUUGUUGAGACUUUGUGUUGUAUAAGUACUGCCAGAAAAGCUUCUUAUUUUCUUCAUGUUAUAGAUUUCUCUUUGUAAAUAAGUCUCAUGUGUUUUAGUUCAAUUGUCCUGAAACAUCUGCUGUUUGGUCUGUAUAUGUAUAAGCAGUAAUCGGAUAGAACAUCUUCUAGAAUGAGAAAUCAAAGUUUCACUCUACUGGAUCACGC